GAUGAACGCUGGCGGCGUGCCUAAUACAUGCAAGUCGAGCGAACGGACGAGAAGCUUGCUUCUCUGAUGUUAGCGGCGGACGGGUGAGUAACACGUGGAUAACCUACCUAUAAGACUGGGAUAACUUCGGGAAACCGGAGCUAAUACCGGAUAAUAUUUUGAACCGCAUGGUUCAAAAGUGAAAGACGGUCUUGCUGUCACUUAUAGAUGGAUCCGCGCUGCAUUAGCUAGUUGGUAAGGUAACGGCUUACCAAGGCAACGAUGCAUAGCCGACCUGAGAGGGUGCUCGGACACACUGGAACUGAGACACGGUCCAGACUCCUACGGGAGGCAGCAGUAGGGAACUUUCCGCAAUGGGCGAAAGCCUGACGGAGCCACGACGCGCGAGUGCUGAACGUAUUCGGAUCGUAAAACUCUGUUAUUAGGGAAGAACAUAUGUGUAAGUAACUGUGCACAUCUUGACGGUACCUAAUCAGAAAGCCACGGCUAACUACGUG
Molecule: ribosomal RNA, 497 nt
Filed under: uncultured bacterium
Lineage: Bacteria
Description: partial 16S ribosomal RNA
Rfam family: Bacterial small subunit ribosomal RNA
Source: RNAcentral